This 399-nucleotide ribosomal RNA is filed under the name uncultured bacterium. Its description in RNAcentral is "bacterial SSU rRNA". It matches the Rfam family "Bacterial small subunit ribosomal RNA", at positions 362 to 776 of the family's 1533-position model. The record is from RNAcentral.
UAUUGAGCAAUGGGGGAAACCCUGACCCAGCAACGCCGCGUGAAGGAAGAAGGUCUUCGGAUUGUAAACUUCUUUGAUCAGGGACGAAGAAAUGACUGUACCUGAAGAACAAGUCACGGCUAACUACGUGCCAGCAGCCGCGGUAAUACGUAGGUGGCAAGCGUUAUCCGGAUUUACUGGGUGUAAAGGGCGUGUAGGCGGGUCUGCAAGUCAGAUGUGAAAUCUCCGGGCUUAACUCGGAAGUGUCAUCUGAAACUACGGAUCUUGAGUACUGGAGAGGAUAGUGGAAUUCCUAGUGUAGCGGUAAAAUGCGUAGAUAUUAGGAGGAACACCAGUGGCGAAGGCGGCUAUCUGGACAGUAACUAACGCUGAGGCGCGAAAGCGUGGGGAGCAAACAGG